AGUUAAUUAACUUAAGAAAGUAUGUGUUUUGAAAACAUAAGAAUAGAAAAAAUUGUUACUAUUAACUU
This 68-nucleotide transfer RNA is filed under the name Leuconemacris litangensis. RNAcentral describes it as "tRNA-Ser". The record is from RNAcentral. Lineage: Eukaryota; Metazoa; Arthropoda; Insecta; Orthoptera; Acrididae.